Molecule: long non-coding RNA, 285 nt
Organism: Tyto alba (common barn owl)
Lineage: Eukaryota; Metazoa; Chordata; Aves; Strigiformes; Tytonidae
Exons: 2
Source: RefSeq, a predicted model, not a curated record
GGGGGCGGUCGCAGGUUGCACAAUUCGCCCGGCGCAGCCAGGAGAUUCCUGAGCGGCGAAGUCAGAGCGGCCCGGCCUGCCCCGACACCGGGCACCGGGCCCUCAGCAGCCGGCGGCGACCGGUUGCCAGCCGGGCAGGGCCCCCUCGCAGGGGACACCCGGGAUCCAGAGCCCCGGAGACGGGAAAGGGCUGGAAGAAGUGUGGAAACCCUGGAGGGUUGAGGGGUGCCUAAUCCCCUGGAGUUUUUCUUCCAGAGUCCUUAAAAAUAUCCUGGAUUUCUGACA